This 324-nucleotide unclassified non-coding RNA is filed under the name Hevea brasiliensis (rubber tree). The record is from RNAcentral. Lineage: Eukaryota; Viridiplantae; Streptophyta; Magnoliopsida; Malpighiales; Euphorbiaceae.
AUAACUGUAUCCUUCAUUUUUAAAUAUCAUUUCUGACGAUAUAAGCAUAUGUGAUGAAUGCUGCUGAAAGAAAGCUGAUUCUGAGGUCCUCCUACUCUUAGAAAUUCCUGCUUUAGAAUCUAUAUCUUGCAGAGAUGGAAUCAAAUUUAACAUAUCUGAAACUGUCCGUUUUCUUGGAUCCUUUUCCCGUUUGGAAACAUUAUGACCAGCACCCUGAAAGACAGCAGUGUCUCCUGCUGCUUGAGAUACGGGAGUUGUAGCUAAUGAGCUUGAUCCAGUGGCUCUAACUGAAGCAGCUAAAGGCCCAGUAGGGGAGCUUCUCAG